CGAGAAGGCCCAAACGUUAUUCGGAAUUACUGGGCUUAAAGAGUUCGUAGGCGGCAUGAAAAGUAGGGUGUGAAAGCCCUCGGCUCAACCGAGGAAUUGCGCUCUAAACUGUCGUGCUCGAGGAACCUAGAGGUGAGCAGAACAGAUGGUGGAGCGGUGAAAUGCGUUGAUAUCAUCUGGAAUACCGGAGGCGAAGGCGGCUCACUGGGGGUUUUCUGACGCUGAGGAACGAAAGCCAGGGUAGCGAACGGGAUUAGAUACCCCGGUAGUCCUGGCCGUAAACGAUGAGCACUAGGCCGGAGCCCUGCACAGGGUUUCGGCCGUAGCUAAAGUGUUAAGUGCUCCGCCUGGGGAGUAUGGUCGCAAGGCUG
This 371-nucleotide ribosomal RNA is filed under the name uncultured organism. Its description in RNAcentral is "bacterial SSU rRNA". It matches the Rfam family "Bacterial small subunit ribosomal RNA", at positions 525 to 896 of the family's 1533-position model. The record is from RNAcentral.